CACAGCAAACUGGCCCUAGGGGUUGACAGAGGCCUUGCCUUCAAAGGGCAAAGUCCGGUGUGUGCACCCCGCUUCCACAGAGAGGACCGAGGCUCAGGGCAAACCACCUGAGGCCGCAAGGCAGAAUGAUCUACACCACCCCCGGGACAUCAGAGACUACACCGGCAAGGCCGGGAACAUCACAAGGGUCAAAGAAAAUGGACUAGUCCCAGCACACCGCCUGACCCCAAAGAACGAUCUCCAUCGCCUUUGGGAAGCUGGGUCCCACCACCCUGACAAGGCUUCACAGAAUCCAGAGGCAAGCAAGGCAUGAGUGAAGGAUGGGUGGCCCCUACUCCUGCAGCAUGUCUCCAGAUGGUCCCUGAACCGCCAGUGGAAGGACCCUCAAGAUUGGUUCAGACUUGGUCCAUGGUGUUGGAAGUCCAUGACUUUGGUGGCCAACGUUCUUCAGUCUUCACAAUGAGCUACAGUUCACGGAGACACGGAAGCACAGUGGCCCUCAUUCUGGGAGCAGGCCUCAUUCCUGAACCGAAUUCUUUUUAUUGCAAUGGAACAUCUCUACCCACAGGGGUGUGGGGGGCAAUCGUUUCACCUUUGCUUGCUUCCCAACCUCCUCAGCUGCUGUGACUACCGCAGAUUCCAGAACUUACCUCCACACUAUCCCUCUGUCUUUCCUGCCUCCUCCUGUGUCGGCUCAUCCUGCUCUUGAUCUUCCACAUCCACCCUCCCUCAGGACCCCUCACCCCCGCUCCUCCCUCAGGACCUCCACCCCCCGGCCCAUGUGAGGCAGGCUGAAGUCUGGUUCUCUGUGAUUAAAAACUAGGCCUUGUCAUUUGAGGUCCAGUAUGAGUGGAUUGACUCUUAAAAAGAAGCUAAAGAAAUUGUACCUGGAGACCAAACUUCUCCAUAACAGCCAGGGCGGCAGACAUCCAGUCAGCAGUGCACUCUGGGGUGGAUACUUUGGGCCAUGACAGGAGGCAGGGUACAAAAAUCUCAGAAAGUUCUAUGUACCAAAUACACAGGUGAAUCACGGACCCCUGGGACAACUGGAUUCUUUUCAUUUUUAAGAUGAAUUAGCAGCUACUGUUCCAUUUCAAUACUCUGGUCAGCUAGGAACAGACAAAGCUUCUAUUCAUCGAAGGGCCAUGUUCCCAGGUGACAUCACAGCGGACAUUUGUGGUUUAAGUACCUGGUUAAAGUUAAACUUCGUUAAACACCUCUCUUACAGCAUUUUCACAUCCAUGACUGAGAACUCUGAGCUGUUUAAGUUAUUUCCAGAGGAAAAGAUAUAAGAAAUGUAGUAUGUAAACAACACACACAAACACACACAGAGGCACACACACACAUACACACGUACCUACCAACAACAAAAAUAAC
This is a long non-coding RNA of Myodes glareolus (Bank vole), 1377 nucleotides long. RefSeq lists it as uncharacterized. The record is from RefSeq and is a predicted model, not a curated record. Lineage: Eukaryota; Metazoa; Chordata; Mammalia; Rodentia; Cricetidae.